AAAAUAAAUAUUUGUUGAAAGUUGAACAGAUGAAGAAGUAGUGAUCAUUAAUAACAAGCUACCAUUAUCAACAGCUGCUUUCUGUUGUUCUAUUUCCAGGCUCCAUACCUUCUAUCUACCCAACAACUGGGCUGGGAGAGUAAUAGUGUCUACACGGCAGAAGUGAAGAAACAGAUUUAGGCUAAGCAAACUGCCUGAUGUUAUAACUACAUGUAGUGGCAAAUGCGAGAUUAAAACAUGGACUUGAGUGGCUUUGAAAUCUCUGUGCCUUCCACAGCAAUAAAAGUCAGAAGAAAAGAGAUGGUACAUCUAGAUGGACUGGUAAAAAUGGAGCACUGCCAAGCAAACCCCAAGAAAAUGUCCAGCCUCAACAUGAAGUUUUACUGGCUUCUGAGGAAGUGGUAAGUUUGCAAGUAUCAUCACAGAAUUAAAUGCAUUCUUAAGAACUAAUGUCUCAGCGAGGCAUUCGGGGGAGAAACUGGACUGAUUUCUAAGGUAAGUCUACCACUAAGUAUCUAUAGAUAUUGGGUCUGAACCUGUCGUUUUCUGGGGCUCGGUUUCCUCGUUUGUGAAGCAUAAGGGCCGGACAACGUUUUCAAAAAGAGAUUCUGUAAUUCUUUUCUGAGAUAAACGGUUUAAACACAUUGUGGUUUGGUGGGGAAAUCUUUCUAUCUAUAAAGACCCUGUGGAGGACUUAGCUGUAGUUUUUUCUGCCAUUAAAUGGAUUCAGUGAAGGGACUUGACCAGUAUUCAGAGAUGUGUCAGCAUUUUUGCCUUCUCUAAAUUUUUCACCUGUGAUACAGAUUAAGGCAGAAAGGAAAGUGGCAAUUGGCUAUUCAGGAUAGGGUAGAGCAAACCCUUCUUGUUUGUCUUGGGGAUAAGCUUCAACAAUGGAGAAGAGGUUAUUGACACUGGCAAUGAUGACAUAUUAGUAUCUGAAAUUCAGAUCAAAUGAUUCAACCCUUCAGAGCAUUCCCAAACAAUGGUCUUUCCAACAGCGUGAAUCUGCAAACAGAGCCCAGCAGUUAAUUUCAGUCAUCCGGCUUUGCUGGUAUUGCUGCUUCAAUCUUAGAUUUACAGAGCCGUUUUUGAUGAAGACAAUAAAAGCCUCCUUUUGCUCCUGUGUUGCGUUAUG
This 1135-nucleotide long non-coding RNA is filed under the name Felis catus (domestic cat). Its description in RNAcentral is "lncRNA (ENSFCAG00000045628.2)". The record is from RNAcentral. Lineage: Eukaryota; Metazoa; Chordata; Mammalia; Carnivora; Felidae.